GAUGAACGCUGGCGGCGUGCCUAAUACAUGCAAGUAGAACGCUGAAGGAAGGAGCUUGCUCUUUCCGGAUGAGUUGCGAACGGGUGAGUAACGCGUAGGUAACCUGCCUGGUAGCGGGGGAUAACUAUUGGAAACGAUAGCUAAUACCGCAUAACAGUAGAUGUUGCAUGAUAUCUACUUAAAAGGUGCAAUUGCACCACUACCAGAUGGACCUGCGUUGUAUUAGCUAGUUGGUGAGGUAACGGCUCACCAAGGCGACGAUACAUAGCCGACCUGAGAGGGUGAUCGGCCACACUGGGAAUGGGACAAGGCCCAGACUCCUACGGGAGGGAGCAGUAGGGAAUCUUCGGCAAUGGACGGAAGUCUGACCGAGCAACGCCGCGGGAGUGAAGAAGGGUUUCGGAUCGUAAAGCUCUGGUGUAAGAGAAGAACGAGUGUGAGAGUGGAAAGUUCACACUGUGACGGUACCUUACCAGAAAGGGACGGCUAACUACGUG
Molecule: ribosomal RNA, 497 nt
Filed under: uncultured bacterium
Lineage: Bacteria
Description: partial 16S ribosomal RNA
Rfam family: Bacterial small subunit ribosomal RNA
Source: RNAcentral